RNAcentral lists this non-coding RNA (98 nucleotides) under uncultured Mamiellales. Lineage: Eukaryota; Viridiplantae; Chlorophyta; Mamiellophyceae; Mamiellales. The record is from RNAcentral.
UUGGCUCCUUUCGUUCGGCUCCUCUCGUUCGCACCAUCGCACCAUGCUGGAUAUCGUAGACGUGAGACCUCGUGUCAGAGAGUGUCCGCCCGAAAAUG